CCUACGGGAGGCAGCAGUAGGGAAUAUUGCUCAAUGGGGGAAACCCUGAAGCAGCAACGCAGCGUGGAGGAUGAAGGUUUUCGGAUUGUAAACUCCUUUUGUUAGAGAAGAUAAUGACGGUAUCUAACGAAUAAGCACCGGCUAACUCCGUGCCAGCAGCCGCGGUAAUACGGAGGGUGCAAGCGUUACUCGGAAUCACUGGGCGUAAAGCGCGCGUAGGCGGGAUAGCAAGUCAGGUGUGAAAUCCUAUGGCUUAACCAUAGAACUGCAUUUGAAACUGUUAUUCUAGAGUAUGGGAGAGGUAGGUGGAAUUCUUGGUGUAGGGGUAAAAUCCGUAGAGAUCAAGAGGAAUACUCAUUGCGAAGGCGACCUGCUAGAACAUAACUGACGCUGAUGCGCGAAAGCGUGGGGAGCAAACAGGAUUAGAUACCCCUGUAGUC
RNAcentral lists this ribosomal RNA (440 nucleotides) under uncultured bacterium. Its description in RNAcentral is "partial 16S ribosomal RNA". It matches the Rfam family "Bacterial small subunit ribosomal RNA", at positions 338 to 795 of the family's 1533-position model. The record is from RNAcentral.